AAAUAGGUUAGGUUAGAGUCAAAUUAACAUGCAGAAACUAUAGUUCUCGUGCUUAUAGUCAUGAGAAUAAAGUGCCAUAUUGCAAUGAUAAGAACGAUUUCUCCACACCCUGAUAUAAGACUCUUGAAUUAUUAUUUAAUGUAAACAAACGGUUGAUCGUGCAAAAGAGUAAAAUGGCUGUUAGUUCGCUUGUCAAUCUGGCAGAACACUGACAAUAAUGUGAGAAGUGGAUAUCAUUGUACGCCCACAUGCUUAUUGAAAGCCGAUAAGAACGUACUGAAUUUCUUGUUAAGUUCUACUGCAUGUGCCGUAUAUCAUCCACGAUGAGUAUUUUGAGAAGAAGAUUAAAUGAAUUUGAUGAUAUUUUGAAUGCUGAAGAAAUAGAUCUCAUCAGUCUCAAACGACUAUGCUUCCAUGGAAUACCAGAUGAAGGAGGUUUAAGACCUUUAUGUUGGAAACUUUUAUUAAAUUAUUUACCUUCAACAAGACUCAGUUGGUCAGAAACACUUACACGUAAAAGAACACUUUAUAAAACCUUUAUUGAGGAUCUCAUUGUCACUCCAGGUGAAGCAAAUAGUGAUGGUGAACGUGUAGAUGUUACACUUCAUGAUCAUCCUUUAAACUUAAAUCCUGAUAGUAAAUGGCAAACCUAUUUUAAGGAUAAUGAAGUUCUUCUACAAAUAGACAAAGAUGUUAGGAGAUUAUGCCCAGACAUAUCAUUUUUUCAACAAGGUACGGAUUAUCCUCGAGAAGAGAUUGUAAAUGCUAGUGGACAAAAACGUUUACAUUCUAGAGUACAACAUACAGUUUUAAGAAGUGCAAAUGUUGAAAGAAAGGGACUUGGUGUUACUAAGAUAGCAGUUUCUAUCAGAAAAGCUGCAGAAGAUUAUGCACCACUUGCAGAAGGUGGUGAAGCACAUUGGGAAGUUUUAGAAAGAAUACUUUUUCUUUAUGCUAAAUUAAAUCCAGGACAGGGCUAUGUGCAAGGCAUGAAUGAAAUUGUUGGUCCUAUUUAUCAUGCAUUUGCUUGUGAUCCAGAUCAAAAAUGGAGAGAACAUGCAGAAGCAGAUACUUUUUUUUGCUUUACGAAUUUGAUGAGUGAAAUUCGUGAUUUUUUCAUAAAAUCGUUAGAUGAAGCCGAAUUUGGAAUAAAUUCGAUGAUGAGUAAACUUACAGCUCAAGUUAAAGCUAAUGACCCUGAAAUUUGGAUGCGUUUACAUCAACAAGAAUUAUGUCCACAAUAUUAUAGUUUUAGAUGGUUAACACUUCUUUUAUCACAAGAAUUUCCAUUACCUGAUGUUAUGAGGAUUUGGGAUUCUCUUUUUGCUGAUGAAAACAGAUUCAGCUUUUUGAUACAUAUUUGUUGUGCCAUGAUUUUACUCUUAAGGGACCAAUUACUUGCUGGUGAUUUCGCUACAAAUGUUAAACUUUUACAAAAUUUUCCUUCAACGGAUAUUCAAAUAGUACUUUCUAAGGCAGCUGCAUUGGCAGGCAAAAGUUUGAAUUCACCAUAAUUCUACAUAAUUUUUCAUGUACAGCUUCGUUCGACUCAAAAACAUAAACGAAACGUCUGAAACAUCUUUUAAAGGCCUGAAUAUUCUUCCGCGAACGCGAAGAUUAUUAGAACUAAAAAUUGUUCUAAAUAGUUCGGACAGAAAUAUAUGUAUCAUAUAUAUUGUAACAUGAUAUUGUGUGUAAAAACUGUUAAAAAGUAAAAUGAUUUUACACAAUGUUUUAUAUUCCCGAGAUAUAAAAUUUCUCCAAAUUUCUCUUGUAUAUUGGAGACCGGGAUUAAUAAGAUAUGAAUUUAGCUCUCUGUUUCUUUAUUUACAACAAGAAAAAAAUCUCAACCCUUAAC
This 1858-nucleotide unclassified non-coding RNA is filed under the name Apis dorsata (giant honeybee). Its description in RNAcentral is "tBC1 domain family member 13, transcript variant X2". The record is from RNAcentral. Lineage: Eukaryota; Metazoa; Arthropoda; Insecta; Hymenoptera; Apidae.